CAGCAGCCGCGGGAAUACGUAGGUGGCAAGCGUUGUCCGGAAUUAUUGGGCGUAAAGGGCUCGAAGGCGGUUUCUUAAGUCUGAUGUGAAAGCCCCCGGCUCAACCGGGGAGGGUCAUUGGAAACUGGGAAACUUGAGUGCAGAAGAGGAGAGUGGAAUUCCACGUGUAGCGGUGAAAUGCGUAGAGAUGUGGAGGAACACCAGUGGCGAAGGCGACUCUCUGGUCUGUAACUGACGCUGAGGAGCGAAAGCGUGGGGAGCGAACAGGAUUAGAUACCCGCGUAGUCCCUGUCUCUUAUAC
RNAcentral lists this ribosomal RNA (301 nucleotides) under uncultured bacterium. RNAcentral describes it as "partial 16S ribosomal RNA". It matches the Rfam family "Bacterial small subunit ribosomal RNA", at positions 509 to 807 of the family's 1533-position model. The record is from RNAcentral.